Small nucleolar RNA from Phycodurus eques (leafy seadragon), 140 nucleotides. RefSeq annotates it as small nucleolar RNA SNORD10. The record is from RefSeq and is a predicted model, not a curated record. NCBI's taxonomy places the organism in Eukaryota, Metazoa, Chordata, Actinopteri, Syngnathiformes, Syngnathidae. The transcript has a single exon.
UGUAUGGUGAUGAAACCCAUGCGUGUCAGCUGACUCUGGAACCCCCCGCUGGGUUGCGACUCCGCUCGGCGUUUUGCCGGCCAGAGUUCUCAGCUCAGCGGGGAUCCCGAGACGUGAUCAGACUCACACUUCUGAAUACA